GUCUGAGGCCAUAUCACCCUAAACAUGCCUGAUCUUGUCUAAUCUCAGAAACUAAGCAGGAUCAGGCCUGGUUAGUACUUGGAUGGAAGACAAUCUUAAGAAGAGACUGCUCAGAGA
Molecule: ribosomal RNA, 117 nt
Filed under: Castor canadensis (American beaver)
Lineage: Eukaryota; Metazoa; Chordata; Mammalia; Rodentia; Castoridae
Source: RNAcentral